CACACACAAACUGUGCUUCAAGAACAAAAAUGAAGAGCCAAUUUUGCCACCUUGUUUUCAUUUUCCUUGUCGUCUCUCUAUGUUCCUUACCUGCAUUUGGUAUACGCCGCGGAAGCUUUCAAUCAGUGAACCAUAGGGACCUGGCUCCCAGUCCAAGUUUGUCUGAGCUCCCUUCUCUGGCACAAAGCCGUGCGUUUGAAUCAUUGAUCUCGGUGGACUAUGCCGGUGUAGAAGGACACGCACCCCAGAUCCACGCACCUAAGUUGGUAGAGGCGCCUCCGUCUGACUAAAGCCUUCGAGUAUGGCACACCUUGUACACGACGAGGAAGUGCCCUAAUAAAUACCCCCCAUUUCUAUUGUAUUCUUACUGCCUUUGGCACAAGUGUCUUGAUUAGCGAUUUCAGCGGGCCAUUUUAUAUGAUAUAUCAAUAGCACAAUGCAUAAUAUAUAAGUGAA
Long non-coding RNA from Triticum urartu, 456 nucleotides. RefSeq lists it as uncharacterized. Lineage: Eukaryota; Viridiplantae; Streptophyta; Magnoliopsida; Poales; Poaceae. The record is from RefSeq and is a predicted model, not a curated record.